Molecule: ribosomal RNA, 775 nt
Filed under: uncultured Neocallimastigales
Lineage: Eukaryota; Fungi; Neocallimastigomycota; Neocallimastigomycetes; Neocallimastigales
Description: partial large subunit ribosomal RNA
Rfam family: Eukaryotic large subunit ribosomal RNA
Source: RNAcentral
UAUCUCUGUAGAGUCUGCAUAUCAAUAAGCGGAGGAAAAGAAACUAACAAGGAUUCCCCUAGUAACGGCGAGUGAAGCGGGAAGAGCUCAAAUUUGAAAUCUUCAAGGUUUGACCUUGACGAAUUGUAGUUUAAAGAAGUGUUUUCGGUUAGAGGAGUAGUAAAAGUUCUUUGGAAUAGGACAUCAUAGAGGGUGAGAAUCCCGUAUUUGACUAUUCUUUCUAGCUUUGUGAUACACUUUCAAAGAGUCGGAUUGUUUGGGAAUGCAGGUCCAAAAUGGGUGGUAAAUUUCAUCUAAAGCUAAAUAUUGGCGAGAGACCGAUAGCGAACAAGUACCGUGAGGGAAAGAUGAAAAGAACUUUGAAAAGAGAGUUAGACAGUACGUGAAAUUGUCAAAAGGGAAGCGUUUGACACCAGUGUUGUUUUUCCGAAAAUCGAUUAAAAAUUGAUUCAUGCCAGGUUGUAUUGACCUUAUCAGCUUGCAAUUUGGUUUUGGGUCUCUUUUUGAUGCACUUUUCGGUUAACAAGUCAACAUCAAUUUCCUUUGCUGUAAAAAGGUAAGAGGAAGGUGGCUUCAAUUUCGGUUGAAGUGUUUAUAGCCUUUUAUCUCUGCAGUCGGGGAGAUUGAGGUCUGCAGCGUAGAUCCUUCGGGGCUAGAUACAUUUAUGCUAAGUUAUAGCUUUUCAUAGACAACUUGUUGACUAUGUUUAGUCAUGUAGCUUACUCGUAAGUGCUAUUUUACCUACGCUUAGGAUGUUGAAGACUCUACAGAGAUA